Long non-coding RNA from Leptidea sinapis, 313 nucleotides. RefSeq lists it as uncharacterized. The record is from RefSeq and is a predicted model, not a curated record. The transcript has 3 exons. Lineage: Eukaryota; Metazoa; Arthropoda; Insecta; Lepidoptera; Pieridae.
CUUCUGAGCCGGACGCGGAGGUAACUCUGGAGUAUCGCGUGGACAACCUGCGCCCGGCCACCGCGUAUGCGCUCCGACUCGCAGCCGUUAACGACAUCGGGGAAAGCGACUACUCUGACACAAUCAUCGUGAACACUCUAGAAGAGGCACCUUCGGAGCCCCCUCGAGCUGUAGAGGUCCUGGCAGACGCUCCGGGAGAACUACUUAUCAAGUGGCAGGCACCUCCCCAAGAGUCGUGGAACGGAGAGUUGCUUGGGUACGCGGUGUGGUGCCGCGGCGGGAAUGCUUCUCUGUCACUAAGUGUAAGCGGGUG